Carassius gibelio (silver crucian carp) is the source of this 360-nucleotide long non-coding RNA. RefSeq lists it as uncharacterized. The transcript is spliced from 2 exons. Lineage: Eukaryota; Metazoa; Chordata; Actinopteri; Cypriniformes; Cyprinidae. The record is from RefSeq and is a predicted model, not a curated record.
GAGGCCAUUAACAGUUACUUUUACUGGACUUAACUUUCCGGACACUUACAGCCAGUUGGAUUUCACUCAGAUUGGAUCGUGUAUAAACACUGCUGGACUCAACAACACAUGGGGAUUCUUGGUCUGUUUUAAGGGUGGCUUACAGACAUGAAAUAUCCCAGGUUUCCAUAGUGACCUACCACCCUCUUUCCUGCAGAUCUCUAUGAGAGAAACUGGGCAAGACAGCAGCAACUUCUGCAAAGUACAAGCAUUGCCCCAUACUUGGUGGCUCUGUAUUCUGUCCUAUAAUGUAUUUAUAGCACUAGUAUUUUAGGAAAAUAACUACAAGAAUGAAAUAAAUAUAUCAGAGCUUUCCACUCA